Molecule: RNA transcript, 2127 nt
Organism: Terrapene triunguis (Three-toed box turtle)
Lineage: Eukaryota; Metazoa; Chordata; Testudines; Emydidae
Gene name: inner centromere protein-like
Exons: 11
Source: RefSeq, a predicted model, not a curated record
ACGUGUUUCCCCCAAAGCCUCACGGAUACCGCUCUAGCCGUUCUCUCUGUGGUCUGGAGGUCUUCUCUGCGAGGAAUGCACUAGCUGCUGCCCGGGCUGUGGGACGGCAGAGCCAUGGCGGAGGGUCCCACUCACCUGUUGGAGGUUUGCCGUCAGAAACUGUCCGAGUUCUUGUGCAAUGUCGAGCACAAGCACUUGGCAUGGCUGCGGGAAAUUGAGGAGGAGGCCAUGAAGAUGUUCGAUAGCAACUUAAGUGCUGAACCUGAGCUGAUGCCCAAAACACCAUCACAGAAGAAAUACCGUAGGAAGAAGCGCUCCUUAUCUCUUAAGGACGAGAACAAUGAACUGACCAGAAAAAGGUUAUCGAGAAGGAGAAGCAGCCUCAAGCCAGCAUCCUCUAAGCAAGUUUCCCAAAGGCUCCGAAGCAAAGAGGGACUGGAAAAACCCAGUGAUGUUCAAAAGGGAGUCAAUACUUCUUUUUCAACAACGAGAUUCCACUCCAAGGUUGAAACAGAGUUUUCUCUUCCAUCGGAGGCAGUGGCUAAGACACCAACUAUCUUGUUAGUAGAAGAGCGGGUUCCCUUGACAGAAAUCAGUGUUGACAGCCACAGUGGUGCUGACUUGUAUUUGAAGGGGAAUAGGCCUGAAAUAAUAGACCAGGCCUUGGAGAUCAUCUCCCUGAGUAUUGAUGACCAAGCUCCCAAGAAGCCUAAGGUUACUGAACUUCAACCUAUGUCUGCAGCCUCAGCACUGGUGAUCCCUGACACUCCUGAGGCAAAGGGGACAGGAGAAGACCGGGAUGCUGCCAACUUUAGAACAGCAAAUACAUCCACGCCAAAAGCUGCCGUAAAUGGGGAGCCCGGAGCUGAGAGUGACGUUUCUGCUCAGGGGCCAGAAAAGGAGCUUUUCCAGGACUUAAAGGACAGCACAGGGACCUCAACAGGGUCCAAAUCGAGCCAUCCCUCUGCACGCAGAAGCCAGAGGGGUAAGUCCCAUAAGCACCGCAGGACCUCGCUAGCAGAGAAGUAUUCUCUGGCCAGCAAAAGAGAGAGCAUGAUCCGGAAAUCUAUCAGCAGGGCUAUCUCUAAGAAGAAGGCAGCUCGGGAGUCCUCUUCAGCCUCCAGCCACGUGAGCUGCCACAGCUCCCUGGAGGUAUUUGUGGAUGAAGAUGCAACCAGCAAUGUCAGGCCUGAACUGGAACCAAAUGCUGAAUGUGACAAGGCUCCAAAACACCUCCAGAAAACCUUCAUUAUUCCAAAUGAAGGCAGCCCUGUUGCAGAACAGUCAGCUCAGAUUGAACCACCGAAUGGGGCAGAGCAGCAGGCAGGAAACUGUAAAGAGAGCCAUUUGAAAAAAAGUGGCACUUCUCAGAGCAGUGGGAGCAAGGAGCAGCCCCAGAAUGCCAAGCCACUAGAACAGCCCUCGAGUAUCCGGAGACAGAGUUAUAAGCAAGCAGUAGAUGAGCUAUGUAAUGGGCAGCAGCUAGAAGACUGUGACCUCUCUCCUUCAUAUGAUAAGACCACUUCUUCUCCUGCAAGCAAGACUCUAGCCUCGCCCAGCCCAGCCAGCAAGGUCGUACGUCCAUUCAAACACUUUUUACAGACGGUGCAGAAGAACCAGCUGCUCGUGACCCCAGGGUCCACAGGGCACAGUAGUGUCAUGAAAAACCUUAUCAAACGCAACACUCCUACCCGACCGGAUUCCAAGGUAGAGACGAUCUCUUUUCCCUUGAGGGUGAGAAGGGAAGAGCAAAUGUAUGGGGCAGGGUUGUCUGCUUUGAAAUGCUCACUGCAAAUCUGCAUCACAAGCCGUUCAAGAUUCCAAAUGAGGAAUGGUACCAAGGAGCAAACUUAAAUCACAACUCUUCCCAUUCUGAUAUGCUGACUGAAUGUCCGAUCCAGCACCCAAACUCUCCUCUCUCAGUGGUCUUGGCAGAGAGGCUAAAAACUGAAUGGGCCAUGAAGAUUAUUUUUCCCUUUGAUGUCUGAAGAUGCUCCCUCCAGAGUGAGACACGCUGGUGUUACAGGAGAGUACAGCAUAGGCCGUGUCAGGGAAAAGGAGCGGCAGCGGCUGGAGAGCCUGAGGAAGAAGCAGGAGGCUGAGCAACAAAGAAAACAGAAAGUGGAG